GGCCUUGACAUACUAAGAACUUUCCAGAGAUGGAUUGGUGCCUUCGGGAACUUAGAUACAGGUGCUGCAUGGCUGUCGUCAGCUCGUGUCGUGAGAUGUUGGGUUAAGUCCCGNAACGAGCGCAACCCUUUUCCUUAUUUGCCAGCGGGUCAUGCCGGGAACUUUAAGGAUACUGCCAGUGACAAACUGGAGGAAGGCGGGGACGACGUCAAGUCAUCAUGGCCCUUACGGCCAGGGCUACACACGUGCUACAAUGGUCGGUACAAAGGGUUGCUACCUCGCGAGAGGAUGCUAAUCUCAAAAAGCCGAUCGUAGUCCGGAUCGCAGUCUGCAACUCGACUGCGUGAAGUCGGAAUCGCUAGUAAUCGCGGAUCAGAAUGCCGCGGUGAAUACGUUCCCGGGCCCUGUACACACCGCCCGUCACACCAUGGGAGUUUGUUGCACCAGAAGUAGGUAGUCUAACCGCAAGGAGGACGCUUACCACGGUGUGGCCGAUGACUGGGGUGAAGUCGUAACAAGGUAAGCGUAGAUGA
This 533-nucleotide ribosomal RNA is filed under the name uncultured bacterium. RNAcentral describes it as "bacterial SSU rRNA". It matches the Rfam family "Bacterial small subunit ribosomal RNA", at positions 977 to 1509 of the family's 1533-position model. The record is from RNAcentral.